UCUCUUAUCGUACAAUGGGAAAGUACGCAUGAGAACUAUGAAUUUGAGAGGGAGAUUUCUUCAUGAUGUCUGGGUUCGAAUCCCAGUAAGAGAC
Pluteus cervinus is the source of this 94-nucleotide non-coding RNA. The record is from the annotation of a GenBank genome assembly. Lineage: Eukaryota; Fungi; Basidiomycota; Agaricomycetes; Agaricales; Pluteaceae.